AGAGUUUGAUCCUUGCUCAGGAUGUACGCCGGCGGUGUGCCUAAUACAUGCAAGUCGUACGCACUGGCCCAACUGAUUGAUGGUGCUUGCACCUGAUUGACGAUGGAUCACCAGUGAGUGGCGGACGGGUGAGUAACACGUAGGUAACCUGCCCCGGAGCGGGGGAUAACAUUUGGAAACAGAUGCUAAUACCGCAUAACAACAAAAGCCACAUGGCUUUUGUUUGAAAGAUGGCUUUGGCUAUCACUCUGGGAUGGACCUGCGGUGCAUUAGCUAGUUGGUAAGGUAACGGCUUACCAAGGCGAUGAUGCAUAGCCGAGUUGAGAGACUGAUCGGCCACAAUGGAACUGAGACACGGUCCAUACUCCUACGGGAGGCAGCAGUAGGGAAUCUUCCACAAUGGGCGCAAGCCUGAUGGAGCAACACCGCGUGAGUGAAGAAGGGUUUCGGCUCGUAAAGCUCUGUUGUUGGAGAAGAACGUGCGUGAGAGUAACUGUUCACGCAGUGACGGUAUCCAACCAGAAAGUCACGGCUAACUACGUGCCAGCAGCCGCGGUAAUACGUAGGUGGCAAGCGUUAUCCGGAUUUAUUGGGCGUAAAGCGAGCGCAGGCGGUUGCUUAGGUCUGAUGUGAAAGCCUUCGGCUUAACCGAAGAAGUGCAUCGGAAACCGGGCGACUUGAGUGCAGAAGAGGACAGUGGAACUCCAUGUGUAGCGGUGGAAUGCGUAGAUAUAUGGAAGAACACCAGUGGCGAAGGCGGCUGUCUGGUCUGCAACUGACGCUGAGGCUCGAAAGCAUGGGUAGCGAACAGGAUUAGAUACCCUGGUAGUCCAUGCCGUAAACGAUGAGUGCUAGGUGUUGGAGGGUUUCCGCCCUUCAGUGCCGGAGCU
This 890-nucleotide ribosomal RNA is filed under the name uncultured bacterium. Its description in RNAcentral is "bacterial SSU rRNA". It matches the Rfam family "Bacterial small subunit ribosomal RNA", at positions 8 to 853 of the family's 1533-position model. The record is from RNAcentral.